GAAUAAAGUCCCUGGCACGUUCAACGAGACGAUUAUGGUUGAUGUUUUACAAAAUGUUUAAGUCGAUAGCCUUAAAAAGCUCUGCUGAGUUAAGUGAAAUUACUUAUAAUAAUGGCAACAAAUUAGUCAUUCGCUGAAAGACCUCUUGUAAGACUUCUGAGUAGCAUUGAUGAAUGUACUUUGUCACAGUGUUGCUAUGAAUUUAUUACUGCAAACACUGCUGAGAAUUAUUAUCUGGAGUCUUGCAGCUGCGGUUCACAUCCGUGGUUAACAUAAUGAAACCCCAGCAAAACACCACCGUCAAAAAUCUCCGCUUGAUUAGUUCUGUUCCUCUCCUGCGACGGCAAUCCUUCAUGAUCGUGAGUUAAAGUAAAACUUGGUUAUUUUUUCCGAAGAAAACAAUUAAAAAGAGGACACAAUAUGGACUCAAAUCCUCUCCUAUGUUCUUGAUUGGUAUAGCAAUAGAUUAUUGGAUUGGUUGAUGAAUUAAACAUGGCUAAGACUAUCGUAAAGUGGUGAAAAGGUGUCUCGAGCUUCACGAAUUCAAACGUUGAUAAAGCAAAGUAAAGCUGGUUUGGAAACCAACACAGAGUUAACAAUAACGCUACUAUGAUACACAUGCGUAGAAGCUUGAAUCGAGUACGACUGACGCGUUUGUUGUGUCUUCCAGGAAAACUCCUUGACGACAGAGAUAUAUGUUUUACCACGGAGAACCACCUCUCUAAGGCGAGACUUGUAACUGAGAAAACAGAAACUUUGCCCAGGAGGAACACGAAAUACUGGGAACCAAUGAUCUUGCAGAAGAUCACACCCAACUUUGCAGGUGGUGCUGGGUACGAGUCGAGGGCGAUCAGGUUUUGUGUUGUUUCUUUGUCAAACCGCUCUAACUUGUAACUGAAACCGUUGAAAGUUACUUCUGGGUCAGAUGCA
Stylophora pistillata is the source of this 930-nucleotide long non-coding RNA. Lineage: Eukaryota; Metazoa; Cnidaria; Anthozoa; Scleractinia; Pocilloporidae. The record is from RefSeq and is a predicted model, not a curated record.